This is a long non-coding RNA of Lotus japonicus, 2929 nucleotides long. RefSeq lists it as uncharacterized. The record is from RefSeq and is a predicted model, not a curated record. Lineage: Eukaryota; Viridiplantae; Streptophyta; Magnoliopsida; Fabales; Fabaceae. The transcript is spliced from 5 exons.
AACACAUGAUUUAUUAGUUAACAUGGCAUACUGUGUAGAUCCAAUCUCAAAAAUAUAGUUGAUCAAUUUACUAUGGCAUAUUUGGCUUCAAUGGUUUUACUACCUUUGAGAUUGACGUGCUCUUUGAAAAUUCAAUCACAUUAACAUGGGCAGAAGCCCUGUCAAAGAAGUACCCAAGAUAUUUUUCACAAAUGUAGCAUAUCCAUUAUUCCAUGUCUCUCAUUAUAGAGUAUGAGUUAUGACUAAGAAAAAAAAAACUUGCAUAGGUUCUAGAGUACUGCUGCACACUUUUCCCAACUUGGCUAUUACCACAGAUUUGUCUGAUUCAACUGAUUUACACACAAGUGCAAACAAGUUUAUAUUAUGUUAUGUGGUUAAUCCCCCUAUUGAAGAGCCUAUAAAUGGACCUGGAGAGGGAUGAGAGGGGAUCAGAAAACAUAAACAAGAAAGCAAAGCUCAUUCAGCCUCCUCAGGGGUGAUCUUGCAGCUGCCUGUUUCAUCAGUGUGCGUUCCCUUUAUGUUUUUAUUUAAGACAUAGGGUAUGAGGAAGAAGCUGAUUGAAGAGUCCCUGAAAUCAUGAGAAAAGUGAAGUCAAAAGCCAUGAAAGAUUCUUCUAAGCCUAGCAAAAGUUGAAAAAGGAGUGGGGGGGGAUAACUUUGUUGCCUAUGGUUUUUCAAAUGCACACUCAAUGGCUAAAUCAAAGCACAAUAUUGAGAGAAGAAAAUAUCAAUCCAGCGAUAGAGAGGAAUUAUGAAGAAUUAGGCUGGGGUUGAUAAUGAGGCACAUAUUCAUAUUCACUUUUGCAGCUUCUUCUUACACCAACUCCAGAUGGAGAAGCGCUUUUAGGUGGGAGCCAAUCACUUCCUGCCAUUGAGUGCCCUGGUAUUUCUUCUUGGCUGGUAGCCGGAUUUUCUGAAGAAGGAAUUCGAGGAGGCAAAGACGGCGGCUGAAUAGGAGUGCUCGAGCUGGUUUUUGACCACGAAUCGAGGACGAGUGCCUUUGAGACGAAGCCGGAGAAACUGGGUGUUUAGUCUUAAGUAUAACAGCGGAGGUUUGUUUUUAUGUUCCUGAUUUUUUUCUCUUAUUAUUUUUCACUUGGGGGGUUUCACUGCAUAUUUUCUUUGAUAUUCUGCACUAUGUGUUUCUUUUACAAGUGGUCUACCAUAAUUUCCAGUCAUUAAUAUCAGGUGGAUAUACUUGAUUUCAUCAGCUGAAUGUGUCUUCUACAAAUUACGUGGUUUAUUUCAAAUGCAAUUUACUUUGUUUUUUCACUAUAAUUUUGCCAUCUGAAUCUGAUGUAUAGUUGCGGAACUUUGUACCCUAUGAUAAUUCUCAUGGCUAGAAUUUUAUCAUCUUUAUUUAUUAAAUUACAUUUCUAUGACAAUGUUUUGACAUGGGUUUUGAUGAUCAUUGAUCAAGCUAAAAGAGGCUGAUGCAGUUGCAUUGUGAGGUAUCUGCUAUGCACUUGAAGUCCUCUGGAAUUCGUUUCAAUAACAAGACCAUUGAUCUUUUGGACAUAUUAACUUGCUCUACUCAUGGUUUUUGUUUCUGUUUCCAUCCCACUGCAUAAUUCUUUUCUAAAAUCUUGAUAUAUGCAGUGAAUCCAGAUCCCAGAUGGAUCAGAUUAAUUUUCUCUUAUAUCAGGUCAGCCCCUUCCUAUGUGAUUUUUUAUUAAGUUUGCAAUUUCAAAAUCUAGAUUAACCCUUUCUGCUCAUCUUUAAUGUUUAAAGUUUCAUUGUUAAUGGCUGUUUAUUAUCUCUCUGAAAUAACAUUCACCAUUGCGGAAGUGAGACCUUAGUAGAGAACACCAAAGGAACCCAAGAAGAGAACAUGUGUACUGCUCAUCUUCAAUCUUUGAAGUUUCAUAUUUGUUGAUUUCAGUUCAGAUUUUUUGUUUUCAUUUAUUUUGUGUUUGUAUAGGUUGAAAGGAAACUUUAGUAGAGAACACCAAAGGAACCCAAGAAGUGAGAGCGAAGAAGUCAGAAGCGGAAAAUCUGAAGGAGGAGAAAAAACCUAAAGAGAAUAUUAGAGUAUUUAGAAUACUGUUACUACAAGUCAGUUUGACAGCAAUCCUGUACAUCUGCCACUUUCCAUUAGCAUUAUGUUAGAAGAUGGAUCCCAAACUUUUGAGGAACUAGACCUACGCUAGGAAGCACAACAAGAAGAGCACUGAAACCGCCACUGAAGAAGAGUCAAGUGCUGCUCACUGAUGGAGCUAUUAGGAUCCUCACAUAUGAUUUCUCUGAGACUCAGGUAAGUUUGCUUAUCUUAUCCUUAGUGUCAAGGUCUUCCUCAACAAAACUUUGCUCUCUAUUUCUCUCGCUCACACUGUUUCUCUGUUUCAACAGUGCGAGAGAAAAAUUGGAAACUGAUUUAUUUAUUUAUCCCAUCUUGCAUUUGAUGCAUGGAGCAUGUUGUCGAGGGUUUCUUUAGUCAAUUUUUCAUCGCGGUAUGUUCUGUUUCCAGUGAAUUGCAUGCUAUCACUGACUUUGUUUUUUGACAUUUUUACCAGCCUUCUACAUGGUAAUAGCGGAGAGAACAAAAGGGCAAGAGCAGUUCUACGUGACGAAGCUCGUCUGCACUAAGGCCUACAUGAUCGCUCGGGUGAAGUGGCUCGAUGACAAGCGUUCCCUUGACGCGGACCUUUGGUGGAGGAGAAAGUAGGUCAUUGAUGCAGAUCUUCUCGCACCAUCAUUUUAGAAGGCUCGCUGGCCUGAACGAACGACGAUGAUGACAAUUAUGCAUAUUAGGCUUCAUGUUAACGCAUGUGUUAAAGGAUCUGUGUCAUUUAAGAGGUUUCAUAUUAGGUUGGGUGCUUUAAUAAUAUUUUGACACUGUGUUAAAAAUAUAAUUAUUCAUGUGUCAUUUAAGAGGUCUCAGAUUUGAAUUUAUCAUAUGUUAAUCUCAUAUGAUAAUGUUAUGUGAAAAG